GACAGAGGGUGCAAACGUUGUUCGGAAUUACUGGGCGUAAAGCGCGUGUAGGCUGCUCAGAAAGUCGGAUGUGAAAGCCCUGGGCUUAACCUAGGAAGUGCAUUCGAAACUUCUGAGCUUGAGUUCUGGAGAGGAAGGCGGAAUUCUGUGUGGAGCGGUGAAAUGCGUUGAUCUACAGAGGAACACCAAAAAAGGCGAAGGCAGCCAACUAUUCUAUUCCUGACAUUGAGGCAUGAAAGCGUGGGGAGCAAACCGG
Molecule: ribosomal RNA, 256 nt
Filed under: uncultured bacterium
Lineage: Bacteria
Description: partial 16S ribosomal RNA
Rfam family: Bacterial small subunit ribosomal RNA
Source: RNAcentral